AUUAAUAAUUAAUAUAUUUAAUAAAAAUAAUUUUAAUUUAAUAAAUAUUUUAAUGGGGGUUAAAGUAUUUUUUAAAGAAAAAAUUUUUAAAUUUAUAGUUAAUUAGUAUUGUGAAAGAAUUUUGAAAUAUUAUGAAAAAUAAAAUUUUUAGAAAGUAAUUUUUAUUUAUUGUAUCUUGUGUAUCAGAGUUUAUUAAAAAUUUUUAAUUUAUAAAUUAAUUUCUCGAAUUUAAAAGAGUUAAAUAAUUAUUAAAGUUAUUGUAGCAAAAUUAUUUUAAAUAAUUAUUUAGAAAUGAAAUGUUAAUCGUUUUUAAAUAUAUCUAGUUUUUAUAGAAAAAAAUUUAAUUUUAAAUUUAAAAAUUAUUUAAUUAAUUUAUUAAUUAAAUAAUUAUUUUAAUUUUAUAAUUUAAGGGAUAAGCUUUAAAUUAAAAUUUUAUAAUAUUAAAUUUUUAUUUUGAAAAUUUUAUAAUUUAUAUUGUUAAUAAAUUUUAUUUUGUUAUAAAUAAUUUCAUUUUUUUAAAAUUUAAAUUUUAUUUAAUUUUUUAUAUAAAAUUUAUUUAUAAUUAUAUACAGUUAAUUAUAAUGAUAAAAUUAGUAUAUUAUUUAAUAUUAAAUUAAAAUUAAUUUUUGAUUAAUAAUUAAAUUAAUUAAAAGGAAUUCGGCAAAUAUUUAUUUUCACUUGUUUAUCAAAAACAUGUCUUUUUGUUAUUUAAUUUAAAGUCUAAUCUGCCCACUGAUUUAUAAAAAUUGAAGGGCUGC
This 758-nucleotide ribosomal RNA is filed under the name Biston falcata. Its description in RNAcentral is "partial 16S ribosomal RNA". Lineage: Eukaryota; Metazoa; Arthropoda; Insecta; Lepidoptera; Geometridae. The record is from RNAcentral.